RNAcentral lists this ribosomal RNA (589 nucleotides) under Acremonium sp. SS_NXB1. Its description in RNAcentral is "eukaryotic LSU rRNA". The stretch from base 214 to 367 matches the Rfam family "5.8S ribosomal RNA". The record is from RNAcentral. Lineage: Eukaryota; Fungi; Ascomycota; Sordariomycetes; Hypocreales; Bionectriaceae.
UCUCCCGUUGGUGAACCAGCGGAGGGAUCAUUAUCGAGUUUAUCCAACUCCCAACCCUAUGUGAACCUACCUUUAUGUUGCUUCGGCGGUCUCGCGCCGGGUUGCUCCCCUGGGGGCUCCCGGGACCACGCGUCCGCCGGAGACCACAAACUCUUGAUUUUGCGAAAGCAGUAUUAUUCUGAGUGGCCGAAAGGCAAAAAACAAAUGAAUCAAAACUUUCAACAACGGAUCUCUUGGUUCUGGCAUCGAUGAAGAACGCAGCGAAAUGCGAUAAGUAAUGUGAAUUGCAGAAUUCAGUGAAUCAUCGAAUCUUUGAACGCACAUUGCGCCCGCCAGCAUUCUGGCGGGCAUGCCUGUUCGAGCGUCAUUUCAACCCUCGAGCUCGUCUUCAUUGACGGGAUCGGUGUUGGGACCCGGCGAGCGGGGACUUUUGUCCUCUGCCGGCCCCGAAAUUCAGUGGCGGCCCGUUGCGGCGACCUCUGCGUAGUAACUCAACCUCGCACCGGUAACAGCAUCGUGGCCACGCCGUAAAACCCCCGACUUUUAUAAGGUGGACCUCGAAUCAGGUAGGACUACCCGCUGAACUUAA